This 395-nucleotide RNase P RNA is filed under the name Octadecabacter sp. B2R22. RNAcentral's name for it is "RNase P RNA component class A". It matches the Rfam family "Bacterial RNase P class A". Rfam says of the family: Ribonuclease P (RNase P) is a ubiquitous endoribonuclease, found in archaea, bacteria and eukarya as well as chloroplasts and mitochondria. Its best characterised activity is the generation of mature 5'-ends of tRNAs by cleaving the 5'-leader elements of precursor-tRNAs. Cellular RNase Ps are ribonucleoproteins. The record is from RNAcentral. Lineage: Bacteria; Pseudomonadati; Pseudomonadota; Alphaproteobacteria; Rhodobacterales; Roseobacteraceae. RNAcentral also lists the same sequence under 1 other name.
GCGGAGGAUCGGAUGGCCGCGAGCGGGGUAACCCGUUCGAGGAAAGUCCGGACUCCAUCAAGGCACGGUACCGGGUAACGCCCGGGCAGGGUAACCUGACGGAGAGCGCCACAGAGAACAGACCGCCCCGUAAAGCGGGGUAAGGGUGAAACGGUGGAGUAAGAGACCACCGCGGCGGUGGCAACAUCGCUGGCAUGGCAAGCCCUACCGGGAGCAAUGCCAAAUAGGGGCCGCGCGUGAAGGGCAACCUUCGCAGGAUCGUCUUGAUCCGAGCAGGUCCGGGUUGGCAGCUAGAGGGUGUCUGGUAACAGGCACCUUAGAUGAAUGGUCAUCGAACCGUUUCGUCUUUCGAGGCGAGCGGGGAACAAAAUCCGGCUUAUAGAUCCUCCGCGUAU